GAUGAACGCUGGCGGCGUGCCUAAUACAUGCAAGUCGAGCGAACAGACGAGGAGCCUGCUCCUUUGACGUUAGCGGCGGACGGGUGAGUAACACGUGGGUAACCUACCUAUAAGACUGGGAUAACUUCGGGAAACCGGAGCUAAUACCGGAUAAUAUUUCGAACCGCAUGGUUCGAUAGUGAAAGAUGGCUUUGCUAUCACUUAUAGAUGGACCUGCGCCGUAUUAGCUAGUUGGUAAGGUAACGGCUUACCGAGGCAACGAUACGUAGCCGACCUGAGAGGGUGAUCGGCCACACUGGAACUGAGACACGGUCCAGACUCCUACGGGAGGCAGCAGUAGGGAAUCUUCCGCAAUGGGCGAAAGCCUGACGGAGCAACGCCGCGUGAGUGAUGAAGGUCUUCGGAUCGUAAAACUCUGUUAUUAGGGAAGAAUAAACGUGUAAGUAACUGUGCACGUCUUGACGGUACCUAAUCAGAAAGCCACGGCUAACUACGUG
RNAcentral lists this ribosomal RNA (497 nucleotides) under uncultured bacterium. RNAcentral's name for it is "partial 16S ribosomal RNA". It matches the Rfam family "Bacterial small subunit ribosomal RNA", at positions 28 to 507 of the family's 1533-position model. The record is from RNAcentral.